This 253-nucleotide ribosomal RNA is filed under the name uncultured bacterium. RNAcentral's name for it is "partial 16S ribosomal RNA". It matches the Rfam family "Bacterial small subunit ribosomal RNA", at positions 524 to 776 of the family's 1533-position model. The record is from RNAcentral.
UACGGAGGGGGCUAGCGUUGUCCGAAGUUACUGGGCGUAAAGCGCGCGUAGGCGGGUUGGUAAGUCCGCUGUGAAAGCCCGGAGCUUAACUCCGGAGGGUCGGUGGAUACUGCCAGUCUUGAAGGUGCUAGGGGGAGAUGGAAUUACCGGUGUAGCGGUGAAAUGCGUAGAUAUCGGUAGGAACACCAGUGGCGAAGGCGGCCUGCUGGGCAGUUGCUGACACUGAGGCGCGACAGCGUGGGGAGCAAACAGG